UGGGUUUUAAAAAUUAAUUUUAGGACAAGUC
RNAcentral lists this non-coding RNA (31 nucleotides) under Rattus norvegicus (Norway rat). Lineage: Eukaryota; Metazoa; Chordata; Mammalia; Rodentia; Muridae. The record is from RNAcentral.